This 492-nucleotide ribosomal RNA is filed under the name uncultured bacterium. Its description in RNAcentral is "partial 16S ribosomal RNA". It matches the Rfam family "Bacterial small subunit ribosomal RNA", at positions 29 to 507 of the family's 1533-position model. The record is from RNAcentral.
AGUGAACGCUGGCGGUAGGCCUAACACAUGCAAGUCGAACGGCAGCACAGUAAGAGCUUGCUCUUACGGGUGGCGAGUGGCGGACGGGUGAGGAAUACAUCGGAAUCUACUUUUUCGUGGGGGAUAACGUAGGGAAACUUACGCUAAUACCGCAUACGACCUACGGGUUAAAGCAGUGGAUCUUCGGACCUUGCGCGAUUGAAUUAGCCGAUGUCGGAUUAGCUAGUUGGCGGGGUAAAGGCCCACCAAGGCUACGAUCCGUAGCUGGUCUGAGAGGAUGAUCAGCCACACUGGAACUGAGACACGGUCCAGACUCCUACGGGAGGCAGCAGUGGGGAAUAUUGGACAAUGGGCGCAAGCCUGAUCCAGCCAUACCGCGUGGGUGAAGAAGGCCUUCGGGUUGUAAAGCCCUUUUGUUGGGAAAGAAAAGCAGCAGGUUAAUACCCCGCUGUUCUGACGGUACCCAAAGAAUAAGCACCGGCUAACUUCGUG